UUUGACCGUGCAAAGGUAGCAUAGUAGUUAGUUUUUUAAUUGGGAUCUUGUAUGAAUGGUUGGACAAAAGAAACUCUGUCUCUAUAAUUUUUAUUGAAUUUAACUUUUAAGUGAAAAGGCUUAAAUUAUUUAAAAAGACGAUAAGACCCUAUAAAGCUUAAUAAAUAAAUUUACCAUGUUUGAGUUAGUAAUAAUAUUUUGGCAAAUAAAAUUAUUUUGUUGGGGAGACAAUAUUAUAAUUGUUAGUAACUGUGAAUAAAUAGUACAUGAAUUUAUGUGUAGUUAAAAUAAAAGAUCCUACUAUAAAGAUUAAAAGUUUAAGUUACUUUAGGGAUAACAGCGUUAUUUUUUUUAAGAGUUCUUAUCGAAAAAAAAGAUUGCGACCUCGAUGUUGAAUUAAAAGUUCCAGAUAAUUGUAGCAGUUGUUUGAGAAGGUCUGUUCGACCUUUAAAUUUUUA
Molecule: ribosomal RNA, 458 nt
Filed under: Arcotheres similis
Lineage: Eukaryota; Metazoa; Arthropoda; Malacostraca; Decapoda; Pinnotheridae
Description: partial large subunit ribosomal RNA
Rfam family: Bacterial large subunit ribosomal RNA (bases 333-458)
Source: RNAcentral